This 4968-nucleotide long non-coding RNA is filed under the name Brassica napus (rape). Its description in RNAcentral is "long non-coding RNA (BNAP_LNC025407)". Lineage: Eukaryota; Viridiplantae; Streptophyta; Magnoliopsida; Brassicales; Brassicaceae. The record is from RNAcentral.
GAGGGAAGUGAUCUGGUGGGUUGGCACCGCUAUGGUGACGUAGAGAUUGGUUUGAGAGAGGAGUGUUAGACUCUCUGGAUCGGCGUCGUAGAGCUUGACAUGACCGGCUUUGAUGAGUUUGAUGAAAUUGAUCGAUUGGUAAGGAGAUGGUAGGUUGUUUCCUUGUCUACCAUAGUUAAUACCAAUCUUGCUGGCUAACUCUAGCAUCGUUUUUUUCUGUAUAUACCUGUGCGGAUGUUGGAACCCAACCGCUGAGCAACUUGUACCUGUAAAAUCAAGAAAAUUAUGUUCAAUAUGAAUCUAAAAUGUAAGCAUCAUGGUGCACUUUGCAUAUGAUUCUUUGAUGGAGAAGAUGGCUUACUUGAAAAGACGACGAGGGUGAAGAGGAAGAAAGCAAGAAGAGACAUGUCUUUUUGUGUUUGGUUCGCAGUGUGUUAAUUGUGAUCAGAUUGUGGUAUGAGUAGGAAAAUGAGUAGGAAUGGUGUGAAAUUGGAGAUGAUGCAUCGAGGUAUUAAGUAGGAGUAUGGUGAAAGUUUAGUGGUGUAAAGAUAAUACAUUUAUAUUGAGUCAUGCAAGCGUAGCUUUUUUUUUUUGGCUUUUGGUUUCUUUUGAAACUAUAUCAUAAUUCUUUUGUGCUAUGAUUUUUAAAGAUUGUUGGUUAGAUGGUUCAUAUUGAACCACUCUUUUCCUGAUUUAUAACUUCAUCGUUUUACAUGUUGCGAGUUUUGUAAUGGUGACUGUAGAUUAGAAAAGUACUUCAACUAUAUAAAAGACUUUUUUGUACAUUGAGUUGAGAAGACUAAUGAAAAUCCUAUAUAUAAUCUUAACUGAACGGGACUCUCUAGGUCGAAAAACAAAGCCCUUUAUUAUGAACUACAAGUUUUGCCCUCAAAUUCAGACAUAAUCUUUUUAAGAAUAUCUUUUAUUUGGUUUUGUGUUUGAAGUUUGUUUAAAUUAUCAGGUUCAGAUAUCACUUUGUUAUUAUUUUGUCUUCUUUCAUUUAUUAAUGCCUUUUCCCAGUAAUAUUUUUUUAUAAUGAAUGUUAAAUAUUUUAAAAGAUGGAAACUCAUAUGUAGCUACUUGUGAAAAUGAUGUCAUCUACGUACACAAGCACCACAACGUAAUCAUCUUUUCUUCUGCGUACAAACAAAGAAUGAUCACCAUGAUCUUUAGUCAAUUCCAAAUCCAAAAGAGCAGAAGAAAACUUUCUAAACCACUGAAACUUGUUUUAACCCACAUAUAGAUUUCUUGAAUCGUAAAACAGCUCUUGGUGAUAGAGUAAUGCCUUUUCUCUCGGCAUCCUUAUGGUAUCUUCAUGAGGAUUUCUUCAUCUAAAUCCGCAUUCAAAAACGCAUUAGAAAUGUCACGUUGAGUAAGAGACCAUUUCUUAGUUGCGGAAACUUUGAGAAGAAGUUUGACUUUUGCCAUUUUAGCUACAUGGGAAAAGAUUUCAUUGUAAUGCUGACUCUCUUUCUGCAUAUAUUCUUGUGUCUCUCAAGAGUUCCAUUAGCGUUGAAUUUUAAAGUAUAAAGACACAUACAACCUGCAUAUUUCUUUACAAUAGGAAGACUAGUAACAUCCCAUAUUUUUGUUGAUUUCAUAGCUUUAAUUUCAACAUCCACUGCUUCACACCAUUUCUUGGAUUUCUGAGCCUCAAAAAAUGAAGUAGGAAUAGAAAUUUAUGUAAGGUUGUUUAUGUAAGAAAGGUAUGAAGGAUAUAGUUUUGAGUAUGAAAUACAAGAUGAAAUAGGAUGGUAUAUGAUGCAGCAUCACAUACGACAUUGGCGCCAACUUAGACUAUUCGAAUAUGUCUAAUUUCCGGUUUUAGUUUUCUUAUCGGUUUUCCUUUUUAUUUAAAUUUCCUUUUACAAUUAAGUCAUUGAUAUCCUUUUCCUAUUAGGGUUUGUCUAAAGGAAGGGAUAUAUAAACAAGUUUAGUCUUCAUUGUUUGGAUACGUUUGAUUUUAUAAUAGAAGAGCUUUGCUUUUAUCUCUUGUUUAGAUUCGAUUAAAUUCAAAACAGGAAGUUGGUCUCAAGAAGCUAUCGAGAGAAACUCUUGAUCGAUCCAAGAACAGGUCUCGAAGAACUCUAAAUUCUUAGAUCGACCGUUCACCCAUUCGUACGCUGUGCCAGGUUGGUAUCAGAGCUCUGCUACGCCCCGAAUCCUUCUCAACCCGCUACAAUGGUUCGUAAGACUCGUGCUCAGCAAUACGCUGAUGACGAAGAUAUCUCGGCUACUCAACAAUCUGUUAUUGAGCUCCAGGAACAGAUUGCAGACCUAGCUACCGCCGUCGCUGCAUUAACCGCACGACAAGCUGCACCUGCACUUCCCUCCGCAACGACCAGAUAUCUAUCCAUGAUAACUCCGACGAAGACGACGAGAAUCCAUUCGCUCCUCUUCGACAACCACAAAAACAUCAACGACCUCGACGCCGCAUCAACAAUAGCUCCGAUUCAGAAGAAGAAGCUAACGAGUCAUCAUGGAAAUCCAGCUUCAAGCUCGAGCUCCCAGUAUUCAAUGGCUCCACGAACGCUGAGGAAUUAUUGGAUUGGUUUGUAACGAUAGAAAAAAUUCUCGAGUUUAGAGAAAUUUCAUUGAACCGCUUUGUACCCCUAGUCGCCAUACGCUUCCGUGACCGAGCAGCCGCUUGGUGGUCACAAGUUAAAACGACAAGAGCACGAUUGGGAAAAUCGAAGAUUACUACUUGGGAUAAGCUUAAACGAGAGAUGCAAAAAAAAAUAUCUCCCGUACAACUAUGAUCAACUUAUGUUUCAGAAAUUUCAGAAUCUACGACAAGGCAUUCGAUCCGUCGACGAGUACGCGACAUAAUUUUUUAGAAUGAUCAACCGUGUGGAGAUUCGUGAUACCGAAGAACAACUAACAAUGCGUUUUGUGGGAGGUCUUGGCCAACAAAUCCAACACACUCUGAACCUGUUUCGUCCACAUUCUAUCUCAGAAGCUCAUCAGCAAGCCCUCACGAUAGAAACUCAGAACCGAACCGGUUCUCAAUCUUGGACGGCUCGAAAAACUCGACAGAAUCAAGCUGUUUCUUCAGCUACCCCCGAUAUUGUGCCUCCUAAGUCAGAAACCGCGAUCGUACCUGUCGACCCUUUGAAACAGCAACGCACGGGUGGCUUACGUUGUUUCUCGUGUGGAGAGACCGGUCACCGUCAAGCUUCUUGCCCACAUUGUAACAAACGUGGACUUCUUAUUGAAGAUAUCACGGGUGAUCAAGAACCGACGAAUGACGACGAAGAAAUAGAAACAGAAGAAGAAUUGUACCCAUCUUCAUGUUUUGUAAACAAAAAAAAAUUAUAUAUUUAAUAGUUAUUUGAUGUUUUUCUCAACAUUAAGCCACACGAAACAGAAACCAGAAAAUCUAGAGUGAGUAAAUACGAAUAAUCCAGCUUUGAUCAUCUUAAAUCUCUUUCAGGCGUUCUUGCUCACAGAGUAACGCUCGGGAACUUGCAGCGAUCAUUUCCUGUGAAAAGGCUUUAUUAUUUACAAUAUAUUCCACAAAUACCCUUACACUGUCACAUGAUCCGUGACUAUACAAAGGUUUAUUUAUAUCCAAUUUUGGAGAAAAAUAAAUAAAUGACUCACCAGGGUUAGUCGUGGUCUCAUGAGCCAAUCCAUUAAAGUAACAUUGGACGUUUUGGCUACGGAACUGAGCCCAGUACGAGUUAAGCGCGUAGCUUGCGUGCGAAUAAACAGAGACCGGCUCGUAACAUUCUCUGCCAGGAGCCAAAGCCGCACACGUCGUGUUGCUUCGGGCACAAGCCAUCCUCAAAGCUUCCUCAAGCUCAGCCUCGUUGGCUCCUUCGACCAGUACGCACCACACUUGACCCUUGUAAGGAACGUUAUUGGUCGGUUUAGGCAGAGGGUUAAAACCGGUUAAGGGUUUUUGACCGGUAAAAUCAAUGUCGUAGAUUGGUGUACCGUCCGGAUGCAAGAUUCCCCAAUGUCUUUGUGUUCCCGAACCGGGUUUCUUGUUUUCGUUAAAUAAGGAGAAAACAAAUGUCGGUAUAGGUGAACCGGGUCUAGCUGGUGUACCGAUUGGUGGAGUUGCGGUCAUCUUCUUGAUCAAAUUCCGGUUAUACGUGGCGGCGUUGAAAACGUUAGCUCCGAUUUCGUCGAUGUCGCCGGAGUUAGGCCAUCCGGUUUCAGAGAUUGCGAUACGGAUGUAUGGAUAACCGAGCUUGGUCAUGGCGAAGAUAACCGAAUCCAACAUUUGGUCUACAAGAUUAUGGUAAACCAAACCGGUAUGAGGAUCGGUAUAAGUUGAGUUUCCUUGAAACAGAGCGAAAUCCAACGUGGUGUGAUUAGGGUUUCUUGACCAACGGAAGUAAGGUUGAAGAUUGAUAAAGAAGUAAGAGUUUGUUCCGUUGAGAAACUUCAGCAACGGCAACAUUAACGGUAAGGCGAUAUCUCCCCGGAAUGUUGAGUUCGACGGCGGAAACGUUGAUCGAAGAGAAUCCAUAGCUAAAGGUGUACCGACUUUGAUGUUGUGAAUCCCAUGGGCUCUGAGAGAGUUCACGAUUUUUCGCAUUGCCGGUACGACAUUGCCGGUUAUGUUCCUAUCUUUGACGGAGAGGAUUUCGUUUCCAACAAGGACAAAUCGUAUUUGUGUUUGUGGGUAGUAAGGGAGGAUAUUGGUUUUGACCCAAUCUUCAGCUGUAGUUUGGUUGGCGCUGAGGGAAGUGAUCUGGUGGGUUGGCACCGCUAUGGUGACGUAGAGAUUGGUUUGAGAGAGGAGUGUUAGACUCUCUGGAUCGGCGUCGUAGAGCUUGACAUGACCGGCUUUGAUGAGUUUGAUGAAAUUGAUCGAUUGGUAAGGAGAUGGUAGGUUGUUUCCUUGUCUACCAUAGUUAAUACCAAUCUUGCUGGCUAACUCUAGCAUCGUUUUUUUCUGUAUAUACCUGUGCGGAUGUUGGAACCCAACCGCUGAGCAACUUGUACCUGUAAAAU